AUAAAUAAAUAUUUCCGAGCUGUUAUCGCUAAGGACCUUUGUCUAGGGGAAGCAGCCUAUGGGUAUGAAGAGAAAUCUUUAUGCCUCCCGUAAAUUGGAAAGGAACUGUUACUAAAAUCUA
Molecule: non-coding RNA, 121 nt
Filed under: Andreesenella formicacetica
Lineage: Bacteria; Bacillati; Bacillota; Clostridia; Peptostreptococcales; Natronincolaceae
Description: Clostridium formicaceticum MoCo sequence
Rfam family: Molybdenum/Tungsten riboswitch aptamer (Moco RNA motif)
Source: RNAcentral